AGCGUCUGAAAGAAACCAAAGUACCUUCUAUUAGCUCCUAAGAGUAUUCCAGGGCUGCAGCUAUUAAUGCUAUUCUAGAGUAAUUGCCUGUUGUAGCAAUAUUGUAUUACCUAAUAAAUAAGUCUUCUUUUUAUAAAAAAUAAUGAAAAUAUAUACCAAUUUUAAUAAAGAUUUUUUUACUUAUUAAAGAAACUUAGGCAGGAAAUAUAUAUGCAAAGUUGGUGCAUGUAUGUGCCUAUGAUCUUUGAUUGCUGAGGGUAAAGCUUGAAUGAUCUGUAACACAGGCCAACACACAUUUUGGUGCUUCAAAUUUUGGACCUGUUUCUGGGUAUAUUUGACCUGCUGAUUCCAAAAAUGGCACUGGUUUUCCCCUACCACCUCUAGUUUUUGAGAUACAUAAUAUAUGUGUUAUGGUUGAGCCUUAUGGCUCCAAUACUGGGAGACGUGGUCGUAAGACUCCUCGAGAGUCAGACUCUAUUGAGGAGCGAGAGAGGAAACGGCUGCGGGACAUAUUUGCAGAAUCAACUGACGAAGACUCCUUUGAGGGUUUUACUGAGAGAAUGGAGGAAGAGGUGGUUAGCUCAGAGGAGGAUGACAUGGAAUGGACUCGUGUGAGGGAGGAUUUGGGUGUUCCUGGUAAUGAUAGCAUGGGAAACGACUGGCGGGUUGCAGGAUCGGACCCGUGGACAAGUUGGAGGGAUGGGACGGGAUCCACAGCUGGGGAUGCUGUGGGGCAUAGUCAAAGAUGUUUUAGCUCUGAUGAGGAUGAUGAUGAGGCACCUGGAAUUAGGGUAACACCUGAUAGCGAUGAGGAGUUGUAACUGGCAUAAAAUGGGGUCUUGAAUCCAGGGCUAAUUGCGUUGGGCAAGGUAAUCUGGACGAACGCUUGGGCUCUUGUUGGGAAUUUCCUGAAGACGGGUGUGUUUCGUUUGCUGACUACCUUGGACCUCCGUCGUCUUCUUGACGGACAUUAUUUACCUACUCGGAAUUGACGCUGGACUGGCUGACUGACUGACUGACUGACUGACUGACUGGCUGACUACGACCUUGGACUACCCUCUCUUUGGCUAUCGGAGGAUUUCGUGGAACCUAAGACGCCUGCACUUGGCCUUCGACCUCGGACCGGAUUGGGACCCCGCUGACCGCUGCAACCCUGAUUGAUGUGUUUGGACCCGGAGUUCGCCCGCUGCACGGAGGAGUAACAACUUAGUUGCUCAACCACAGCUGUUGAGUAGCAGAGAGGAAUCUGCUGCCAGUAUUUAUGUUCUAUUGAAUCUUUAUUUACCAGCUUUUGUUUGUUUAAAGUCCCAGGCUGAAGUAAGCAUUUUUAGUUUAACCCGGAUUAAACUCCUGUUUAAUCCGGUUUAGCUUUUGAACAGUUUUUGAGUGACUUUUCAUAUUGAAGGCGAGUGUUUGCCUAGCUCUUUGUUUUUUACGAGCAUUUUUGGUUCUGUAUCUUUAAUAAACUGUGUUGAAUCUUA
This is a long non-coding RNA of Anolis carolinensis (green anole), 1481 nucleotides long. RefSeq lists it as uncharacterized. The record is from RefSeq and is a predicted model, not a curated record. NCBI's taxonomy places the organism in Eukaryota, Metazoa, Chordata, Lepidosauria, Squamata, Anolidae. The transcript is spliced from 2 exons.